CUGAAUUGUACCACGUGACACAAGAACAGGCAGGAACACUUGAUUGGCAGGGCUUGAGGGAAAACCAGAAAAAGAAAGAUUUAAGGAAAUAGAACACUGUUGGAGGAGAGGGUGAAUCCUGAUUAACUUGGCAAAGUCGGACGACCAAGUUGUGCGUAGGAAUACAGAAGUUCUAUGGAAAAGGAAAUGGCUGUCGGAUGGCAACGUAAAGAGCUAAAAAUAUUCAAAAUAUAGAGUACACUUGAACUUUUUCAGUGGGCCUUCUGCUAGGUGGUUAAAAUAAGUUUUGCUUCUGACCCUUUCCACAGAAGUAUACACUGCUUCUGUGCCGGUACAACUCUGCUUCUCCAAAUUGGGGAAGCACCAACCGCAUCUACUUCAGGUCUGACGGUAGUGACUAUGGAUAAGUACCUCAUACAGCCCCACUUCAAAUAUUCCAAACUAUCCUUUUAAUUGACACCAACCAGGCAUGUGGUCAUCAUACAUCCAUUGCUAUAAAUGUCAAUAGAUUCAUUAAAAUGCAAUUAGGGUGAGUGUGUGGAUGUGAGUUCUCGGACAGAAACAGCAACAAACAUAACAACUGAAAAAACAGGCUGCUCACUAUAGUGUUCUACAGGCUGUGGGUGGAAUCACUGAGCAGAUGCUUUCUUCUCGGCAGUGAGGACACUUGUUCCAAAGCAAAUAUUGUACCAGAUAUUAUUCAUGGUGACCUGUGGAUGAGUGCAUCAUUAAAGCCUUGCCAAGAUGUAAAUGAAGUCUUCUUUACGUCACUGAAGUGGUACAGACUUCAUUCAGUGCCAUCUUGAUAACCUUUUUCUAAUCCUACUGACCCAAAAAUAAA
Long non-coding RNA from Micropterus dolomieu (smallmouth bass), 841 nucleotides. RefSeq lists it as uncharacterized. The transcript is spliced from 3 exons. Lineage: Eukaryota; Metazoa; Chordata; Actinopteri; Centrarchiformes; Centrarchidae. The record is from RefSeq and is a predicted model, not a curated record.